Molecule: long non-coding RNA, 343 nt
Organism: Sceloporus undulatus (fence lizard)
Lineage: Eukaryota; Metazoa; Chordata; Lepidosauria; Squamata; Phrynosomatidae
Exons: 3
Source: RefSeq, a predicted model, not a curated record
UUUACAGAUAAGCCAUUAGUCCCCUUCGAAGAAAUCGGUUAUUCUGUUUCUUUUGUAGAAGGAGGCACCCAGAAAAUGGAAAAGCUUCCUUGAAAUCAAAGAAUACGAACAGAACUGCAGAACCUUUGGAGGUGAUCUUGCCUGAACCCUUGCUCACUGAAUUGCAGGAAUCCAGAAACAAUUCCAAGAAGCAGUAAUAGCAUCUGGAGCGACCAUUCCUCCAUCUUCUUCGCCUGUGCUCGGAAAACUGCCUUUACAUGUCUCAAACGAUACUAAGCUUCCAACUGAAGGCAUCCUUGAACCACCAGAGCAAUAUAACUUGCCACACUUUAGAUCUCUGGAA